AGAGUUUGAUCCUGGCUCAGAAUCAACGCUGGCGGCGCGCUUAACACAUGCAAGUCGAACGAGAAAGGGGAGCAAUCCCUGAGUAAAGUGGCGCACGGGUGAGUAACACGUGGAUCAUCUACCCUCUUGUGGGGAAUACCGCUGGGAAACCGGCGACAAUACCGCAUAAGCUCGAGAGAGGAAAGCCGAAAGGCGCUGGAGGAGGAGUCCGCGGUCGAUUAGUUAGUUGGCAGGGUAAAAGCCUACCAAGACUGUGAUCGAUAGCCGGCCUGAGAGGGCACACGGCCACACUGGCACUGAAACACGGGCCAGACUCCUACGGGAGGCAGCAGUGGGGAACCUUGCACAAUGGGGGAAACCCUGAUGCAGCGACGCCGCGUGAGUGAUGAAGCCCUUCGGGGCGUAAAGCUCUUUCGGCAGGGACGAUUAUGACGGUACCUGCAGAAGCAGCUGCGGCUAACUACGUGCCAGCAGCCGCGGUAAUACGUAGGCAGCAAGCGUUGUUCGGAGUUACUGGGCGUAAAGGGUGCGUAGGCGGCUUUUUAAGUUUGGUGUGAAAUCUCCUGGCUUAACCGGGAGGGUGCGCCGAAUACUGAGAAGCUAGAGUACGGGAGAGGAAAGUGGAAUUCCUGGUGUAGCGGUGAAAUGCGUAGAUAUCAGGAGGAACACCUGUGGUGUAGACGGCUUUCUGGACCGUAACUGACGCUGAUGCACGAAAGCGUGGGUAGCAAACAGGAUUAGAUACCCUGGUAGUCCACGCCCUAAACGAUGCAUAUUUGGUGUGGGCCAUUCAUUUGGUCUGUGCCGGAGCUAACGCGUUAAAUAUGCCGCCUGGGGAGUACAGUCGCAAGGCUGAAACUCAAAGGAAUUGACGGGGGCCCGCACAAGCGGUGGAGCAUGUGGUUUAAUUCGACGCAACGCGAAGAA
RNAcentral lists this ribosomal RNA (927 nucleotides) under uncultured bacterium. RNAcentral describes it as "bacterial SSU rRNA". It matches the Rfam family "Bacterial small subunit ribosomal RNA", at positions 8 to 968 of the family's 1533-position model. The record is from RNAcentral.